AGCGAGAUGCUCCUAUUGGAAGAGGGAGGACAGUAAAGUAAGUCACUGGGCAGUACCAGUAGAACCGUUAGCUUCUUCAGUUGACGCCACCAACCGAGCUCAACUGGACUUGAGGGCAAGCGGCUGUAAAAACAACUUAUCUGCAAGCCGUUAACGGAGCUGCAAAUAAGUUAGCAUCCGAGCCAGGCCUGUCCAUACCCAUACUGAGCUAGGUUAGCUCAGUAGGAGGAGACUAAGCUCUGUGGACGUGGAAAUUGCUACAAAAGUUACAAAAGUUCAAUGUAACUGACAACCGGGGAAUUCCGGAAGGAAUCAGCCGUUAAAGACACUUUGUAUCAGAUCAAGGGGAGGACUAGCUCCUGUUACAUCCUGGGAUGUAACAUGUAGCUCCUGGGAUGCUACCACUGCUACUUGGAUUGACAUCGCUGCCCCCUGGGAUCCUACAGGGGCUGCCGAGGUCUGUUCCUGGGUUUUGUCGACUGCUCCAUGGGCCUGCUCCUGGUCUUCAGUCACUGCUCCAUGGGCCAGCUCCUGGUCUUCAAUAUAUUAAUAUGGUGCCAAGAGGCUUCUUUACCUGAAGGGUGUGAUUGGGUUCUAUACACCUGUGAUUUCUCAUCUAAUCAUCUCAGAGUAUAUAAACAGCAGGCUGCCAGCACUUCAAUGCGUGAGUAUCAGUCAGUAAUGGUACUGUGUGUUCCUCUGAGUUUGCUCCCUGUGUGUUUAUGAGAUUACUUCUAAUAGUAUAUUGUUGCCUCUCCUUCAGGUGUUUCCUAUUGAUGCCUUGGAUUUAUCCCAGUGGAGCCCGAGUUCCUGGCUUUCUGGAUUUCUCCCCUCGUGACACUGUGGCUUGUUACCGACUGGUUGCCCGAGUCCCUCCCUCGCCUCUGCAGUUGAACCACAAACGGUUCCUGGAUUCUCAGCUGGCAGUCGGAUUGCUCCUCGUUCCUCCUCACCUGAACUUACCUGUCCGCCCUCCACCGCAGCCUUCACCAUCCACCUCCAACAAAUUCACCAUCUGACUCAUUCAAACUCUUUGCUGCCUUGUGUGCAAACCCAGUCUAGAAGUAAAACUGAUUUCUGCCAUUGCAACAAAUAUUUCUAUCCAAAAUAUAAGUAGUUUUUCUGCUGUCAUGUAAUAAAAUGCAAUUACAUAAUUUUAAAAA
Long non-coding RNA from Poeciliopsis prolifica (blackstripe livebearer), 1163 nucleotides. RefSeq lists it as uncharacterized. The transcript has 2 exons. NCBI's taxonomy places the organism in Eukaryota, Metazoa, Chordata, Actinopteri, Cyprinodontiformes, Poeciliidae. The record is from RefSeq and is a predicted model, not a curated record.